Molecule: ribosomal RNA, 465 nt
Filed under: Vreelandella stevensii
Lineage: Bacteria; Pseudomonadati; Pseudomonadota; Gammaproteobacteria; Oceanospirillales; Halomonadaceae
Description: partial 16S ribosomal RNA
Rfam family: Bacterial small subunit ribosomal RNA
Source: RNAcentral
CCUACGGGGAGCAGCAGUGGGGAAUAUUGGACAAUGGGCGAAAGCCUGAUCCAGCCAUGCCGCGUGUGUGAAGAAGGCCUUCGGGUUGUAAAGCACUUUCAGUGGGGAAGAAAGCCUUGGGGCUAAUACCCUCGAGGAAGGACAUCACCCACAGAAGAAGCACCGACUAACUCCGUGCCAGCAGCCGCGGUAAUACGGAGGGUGCGAGCGUUAAUCGGAAUUACUGGGCGUAAAGCGCGCGUAGGCGGUCUGAUAAGCCGGUUGUGAAAGCCCCGGGCUCAACCUGGGAACGGCAUCCGGAACUGUCAGGCUAGAGUGCAGGAGAGGAAGGUAGAAUUCCCGGUGUAGCGGUGAAAUGCGUAGAGAUCGGGAGGAAUACCAGUGGCGAAGGCGGCCUUCUGGACUGACACUGACGCUGAGGUGCGAAAGCGUGGGUAGCAAACAGGAUUAGAUACCCCUGUAGUC